GCCUCGUCGGCAAUCCUAGGUCCUAUUCCCAACUAAGACAGAGCAGGACAACUACAAUGCUCGGGGAAACCGCCCACGACUCUUCCGAGAGGAGACUGGAAGAGUCUGGCCUAAAAACAAGGGACGUGGUUGCUCCCUAACAUGAUGGCGCUGAGAGACCCGAAUCAGGGUGGGGGUCUGCAUCCCAUCCGGAACGUGCCGAGACCCUGGUUUCCUCUGGCUGAUCGGUGACCGUGCUGACACCAUGAUCAGAGUCCUGACCCACUGCAGCUGUGACAGCAACUCUAAAGCAGACAAGACCACAGAAGCACCAAAGAAAUGGCAGGAAAAGAGAAGGGAAGAAAAAGCCCUGGAGAAAGGACGGAGACACACUGCAUGCAUGCCCCCCGCUCCCCUGUUUAAGACAAGGGUCUUAAAGGCUUGUUUCAAUGGCUUUAAGCCCCCUAGAAAGGCCACGUAGAAGGACCUCCCUGUAAAUAGCGAUCAAGGUCCUUCGC
Long non-coding RNA from Dermochelys coriacea (leatherback sea turtle), 497 nucleotides. RefSeq lists it as uncharacterized. The record is from RefSeq and is a predicted model, not a curated record. The transcript is spliced from 3 exons. Lineage: Eukaryota; Metazoa; Chordata; Testudines; Dermochelyidae.